GACGAACGCUGGCGGCGUGCCUAAUACAUGCAAGUAGAACGCACAGUUUAUACCGUAGCUUGCUACACCAUAGACUGUGAGUUGCGAACGGGUGAGUAACGCGUAGGUAACCUGCCUGGUAGCGGGGGAUAACUAUUGGAAACGAUAGCUAAUACCGCAUAAUAUUAAUUAUUGCAUGAUAAUUAAUUGAAAGGUGCAAUUGCACCACUACCAGAUGGACCUGCGUUGUAUUAGCUAGUAGGUGAGGUAACGGCUCACCUAGGCGACGAUACAUAGCCGACCUGAGAGGGUGAUCGGCCACACUGGGACUGAGACACGGCCCAGACUCCUACGGGAGGCAGCAGUAGGGAAUCUUCGGCAAUGGACGAAAGUCUGACCGAGCAACGCCGCGUGAGUGAAGAAGGUUUUCGGAUCGUAAAGCUCUGCUGUAAGAGAAGAACGGGUGUGAGAGUGGAAAGUUCACACUGUGACGGUAUCUUACCAGAAAGGGACGGCUAACUACGUG
RNAcentral lists this ribosomal RNA (505 nucleotides) under uncultured bacterium. Its description in RNAcentral is "partial 16S ribosomal RNA". It matches the Rfam family "Bacterial small subunit ribosomal RNA", at positions 28 to 507 of the family's 1533-position model. The record is from RNAcentral.